UACCUAUAACUGUUGCUUCGGCGGGUAGGGUCUCCGCGACCCUCCCGGCCUCCCGCCUCCGGGCGGGUCGGCGCCCGCCGGAGGAUAACCAAACUCUGAUUUAACGACGUUUCUUCUGAGUGGUACAAGCAAAUAAUCAAAACUUUUAACAACGGAUCUCUUGGUUCUGGCAUCGAUGAAGAACGCAGCGAAAUGCGAUAAGUAAUGUGAAUUGCAGAAUUCAGUGAAUCAUCGAAUCUUUGAACGCACAUUGCGCCCGCCAGCAUUCUGGCGGGCAUGCCUGUUCGAGCGUCAUUUCAACCCUCAAGCUCUGCUUGGUGUUGGGGCCCUACAGCUGAUGUAGGCCCUCAAAGGUAGUGGCGGACCCUCUCGGAGCCUCCUUUGCGUAGUAACUUUACGUCUCGCACUGGGAUCCGGAGGGACUCUUGCCGUAAAAUCCCCCAAUUUUCCAAAGGUUGACCUCGGAUCAGGUAGGAAUACCCGCUGAACUUUAGCAUAUCA
RNAcentral lists this ribosomal RNA (501 nucleotides) under Colletotrichum gloeosporioides. RNAcentral describes it as "eukaryotic LSU rRNA". The stretch from base 141 to 294 matches the Rfam family "5.8S ribosomal RNA". Lineage: Eukaryota; Fungi; Ascomycota; Sordariomycetes; Glomerellales; Glomerellaceae. The record is from RNAcentral.